Molecule: ribosomal RNA, 816 nt
Filed under: Thermodesulfobacteriales bacterium T2R3
Lineage: Bacteria; Pseudomonadati; Thermodesulfobacteriota; Thermodesulfobacteria; Thermodesulfobacteriales
Description: bacterial SSU rRNA
Rfam family: Bacterial small subunit ribosomal RNA
Source: RNAcentral
AGUCGAGGGGGAAAGGGCACUUCGGUGCCCGAGUCACCGGCAGACGGGUGAGUAACGCGUGGGUAACCUACCUUGGGGUCUGGGAUAACCACCCGAAAGGGUGGCUAAUACCGGAUACGUUCCUGAGGCGCGAGCCGAGGGAAGAAAGGGUGCCACUGCAUAGCAAGCACCUGCCCCAAGAGGGGCCCGCGUCCCAUCAGCUAGUUGGUGAGGUAACGGCUCACCAAGGCGACGACGGGUAGCCGGCCUGAGAGGGUGGUCGGCCACACUGGCACUGAGACACGGGCCAGACUCCUACGGGAGGCAGCAGUGGGGAAUCUUGGGCAAUGGCCGAGAGGCUGACCCAGCGACGCCGCGUGGGGGAAGAAGGCCUUCGGGUCGUAAACCCCUGUCAGGGAGGAAGAAGGCUUACGGGUUAAUAGCCCGUGGAGUUUGACGGUACUCCCAGAGGAAGCCACGGCUAACUCCGUGCCAGCAGCCGCGGUAAUACGGAGGUGGCGAGCGUUGCCCGGAAUCACUGGGCGUAAAGGGGGCGUAGGCGGCCGGACAAGUCGGACGUGAAAGCCCGGGGCUCAACCCCGGAGUUGCGUUCGAAACUGUUUGGCUUGAGGUCCGGAGAGGCCGGCGGAAUUCCCGGUGUAGGGGUGAAAUCCGUAGAUAUCGGGAGGAACACCGGUGGCGAAGGCGGCCGGCUGGACGGCACCUGACGCUGAGGCCCGAAAGCGUGGGGAGCAAACCGGAUUAGAUACCCGGGUAGUCCACGCCGUAAACGAUGGGUGCUAGGUGUGGGGGGGUUAAACCUUCCGUGCCGAAGCU